GACGAACGCUGGCGGCGUGCUUAACACAUGCAAGUCGAACGGAAAGGCCCUGCGUUUGUGGGGUGCUCGAGUGGCGAACGGGUGAGUAACACGUGAGUAACCUGCCCUUGACUUUGGGAUAACUUCAGGAAACUGGGGCUAAUACCGGAUCGGAGCUCCUGCUGCAUGGAGGGGGUUGGAAAGUUUCGGCGGGUGGGGAUGGACUCGCGGGUUAUGAGCUAGUUGGUGGGGGAGUGGCUGACCAAGUGUGUGACGGAUAGCCGGCCUGAGAGGGUGACCGGGGACAAUGGGACUGCGAGACGCAGCAGUCUCGAACGUGAGGCAGCAGUGGGGAACAUUGCACAAUGAGCGCAAGUCUGUGACAGCAACGCCGCGUGUGGGAUGCCGGCUUUUGGGGUGAAAACCGCUUUCGCCUGAGACGAAGCGUGAGUGACGGUACUGGGUAAAGAAGCACCGGCUAACUACGUG
This 468-nucleotide ribosomal RNA is filed under the name uncultured bacterium. RNAcentral describes it as "partial 16S ribosomal RNA". It matches the Rfam family "Bacterial small subunit ribosomal RNA", at positions 28 to 507 of the family's 1533-position model. The record is from RNAcentral.